This 179-nucleotide ribosomal RNA is filed under the name uncultured bacterium. RNAcentral describes it as "partial 16S ribosomal RNA". It matches the Rfam family "Bacterial small subunit ribosomal RNA", at positions 1314 to 1500 of the family's 1533-position model. The record is from RNAcentral.
GACUCCACGAAGUUGGAUUCGCUAGUAAUCGCGCAUCAGCCAUGGCGCGGUGAAUACGUUCCGGGGCCUUGUACACACCGCCCGUCAAGCCAUGGGAGCCGGGGGCGCCUGAAGUCCGGGACCGCGAGGACCGGCCUAGGGCGAAACUGGUAACUGGGGCUAAGUCGUAACAAGGUAAC